UAAUUAAUUAUUAUAUACCUAUAUAAUACGCUAUCAGGAAAAAAAAAUAUAUAUAAAUCACAACUCUGGUUUAUGAAAAUUUAGUAUAGUAAUAGUAGGAUAACUAGUUAUUAGGUCUAUGGUAGGUACUCAAUUGAAUUUAUUCAUGUCUGAAAUGAAUAAGUUUUGUUAGUUUUGUCCUGGUACAAUUUUCCUUUAUAUCAUCUUUAAUCUUUCUAA
This is a non-coding RNA of Cinara cedri, 219 nucleotides long. NCBI's taxonomy places the organism in Eukaryota, Metazoa, Arthropoda, Insecta, Hemiptera, Aphididae. The record is from the annotation of a GenBank genome assembly.